CUCUCUCUCUCUCUCUCUCUCUCUCUGACUCUGAGAGUUGUUGUGGUGCCAUGGACGAUCUUCCUAUACAGAAGGUGGCAAUAUCGGGUCCCACAUUAGCCUCCAUGAUACAGCGAUUCUCCUCAUCUCUCGGCGACGUGGACGGCAUCCUAUUCGGCCAUGUCACCCACAUCACUCCCUCUACUCUUUCCGACGACUCUCCCCAAACUCACUCCGAUUCCGAUUCCCCUCAACUCGUGGCAACCGUCACUUCCUUCCUUUCCUCCAGCUCCCCUCUUUCCUUCUACGAUUCACUCGGCCGAGUCGACUCUCCUUCUCUCCAUCGAUUCCUAUCCUCCCAAACUCACAAUCAUUUCAUUGGCUGGGUCUCCGCCCGCCGCAA
This 382-nucleotide unclassified non-coding RNA is filed under the name Hevea brasiliensis (rubber tree). The record is from RNAcentral. Lineage: Eukaryota; Viridiplantae; Streptophyta; Magnoliopsida; Malpighiales; Euphorbiaceae.